This 757-nucleotide ribosomal RNA is filed under the name Cryptocotyle lingua. Its description in RNAcentral is "12S ribosomal RNA". The record is from RNAcentral. Lineage: Eukaryota; Metazoa; Platyhelminthes; Trematoda; Opisthorchiida; Heterophyidae.
GAAUUAUUUAGUUUUGGUUAUGGAAGAGGUUUAGAGGGGUGCCACAUAGUGCUUUUUUUGUUUUUUGGUCUAUCUAUAAUAUUUGUGGAUUGGCAAGGACUAGUGGUUAGGUUUUGUUCAUGAGUGAGAGCUCGAACAAGUCUCUCUAGAUUUGGUGGUAAAUUCUCAGUGCCAGCAUCCGCGGUUAUUCUGUUAGCCUUUUCUUCCCGUCAGUUUAAAUGGUUUAUGAGUUAUUUGAGUUUUGGGUAGAAUCUUUUCUCUUUUAAAAUUUCCUCAUAAUUUCUUGGUUAAGGGCUAAUAGAGAAAAGGAUUAGAGACCCUUGUAUUGAGUCUCCGAAUUUUGUGACUCUAUAGUUUAAACUAAAAAGACUUGGCAGCUGAUGAUAUUCUUCCGGGGGAGCGUGUAUCGUAAGAGAUAGUCCGCUUAGACUUUUACCAUCCCUAGAUAAGUUAGUGUAUAUCCGGUUGAAGAUCUGUGAUUUGUGUUUAUAGGUGAAUUUCAGUUAAUUUAAGCCAGGUCCAUGUGCUGCUGAUGGGAUGGUGUUUAUGCGCUACUUUAAACAAAAUAUUGGUCGUUAGAGACUGACAAUAUAUUUAGGACUCGGAAGUAGGUGUAGGUAUUAAUGAUACAUCGAAGGUUGAUUUAGUUGGGGUACACACCGCCCGUCACCCACGGCGAUUAGCUUUGGUAAGUCGUAACAUGGUAAUACUGGGGGAACCGGGUAUUAGUAGAUAGUAAGUUUAGAUUUCUAUCUUA